Melitaea cinxia (Glanville fritillary) is the source of this 338-nucleotide long non-coding RNA. RefSeq lists it as uncharacterized. NCBI's taxonomy places the organism in Eukaryota, Metazoa, Arthropoda, Insecta, Lepidoptera, Nymphalidae. The transcript is spliced from 2 exons. The record is from RefSeq and is a predicted model, not a curated record.
AGUGAUGAGUGUCACUCCGGUGAUUAAGACACCUGUGACAAAUAGAAACUACAGGCUCCUGGUCGCCGGUAGGAACAUCUCCAUCAAAUCCGGUACACGUCUUAUGAUCCUGAAGGCACAUAACGCUGCCUUUUUCUUAAUAUAGGCGUUGGGUGAUUUGAUCAGCCUCUCCACUUCUGAGGCGAGGUCUCUCGCCAUUUCCGGUGAAGCGAUUGCACCCAACGUGCACAGCGCUAGACCGACUACGAACUGUGUGUUGCUGUUAAGGUCACUGUUGGGCAAGACAUUUUCAUAAUUAAUAAAUGCUUUUUACUAUUUCUAAUAAAGUAAUUUGCAAA